RNAcentral lists this ribosomal RNA (254 nucleotides) under uncultured bacterium. Its description in RNAcentral is "partial 16S ribosomal RNA". It matches the Rfam family "Bacterial small subunit ribosomal RNA", at positions 524 to 776 of the family's 1533-position model. The record is from RNAcentral.
UACGUAGGGUGCAAGCGUUAAUCGGAAUUACUGGGCGUAAAGCGUGCGCAGGCGGUUAUGUAAGACAGUUGUGAAAUCCCCGGGCUCAACCUGGGAAUUGCAUCUGUGACUGCAUAGCUAGAGUACGGUAGAGGGGGAUGGAAUUCCGCGUGUAGCAGUGAAAUGCGUAGAUAUGCGGGAGGAACACCGAUGGCGAAGGCAAUCCCCUGGACCUGUACUGACGCUCAUGCACGAAAGCGUGGGGAGCAAACAGG